UGGGGAAUUUUGGACAAUGGGCGAAAGCCUGAUCCAGCAAUGCCGCGUGUGUGAAGAAGGCCUUCGGGUUGUAAAGCACUUUUGUCCGGAAAGAAAUCCUUGGCUCUAAUACAGUCGGGGGAUGACGGUACCGGAAGAAUAAGCACCGGCUAACUACGUGCCAGCAGCCGCGGUAAUACGUAGGGUGCAAGCGUUAAUCGGAAUUACUGGGCGUAAAGCGUGCGCAGGCGGUUUGCUAAGACCGAUGUGAAAUCCCCGGGCUCAACCUGGGAACUGCAUUGGUGACUGGCAGGCUAGAGUAUGGCAGAGGGGGGUAGAAUUCCACGUGUAGCAGUGAAAUGCGUAGAGAUGUGGAGGAAUACCGAUGGCGAAGGCAGCCCCCUGGGCCAAUACUGACGCUCAUGCACGAAAGCGUGGGGAGCAAAACAGGAUUAGAUACCCUGGUAGUCCACGCCCUAAAACGAUGUCAACUAGUUGUUGGGGAUUCAUUUCCUUAGUAACGUAGCUAACGCGUGAAGUUGACCGCCUGGGGAGUACGGUCGCAAGAUUAAAACUUAAA
RNAcentral lists this ribosomal RNA (559 nucleotides) under uncultured bacterium. Its description in RNAcentral is "partial 16S ribosomal RNA". It matches the Rfam family "Bacterial small subunit ribosomal RNA", at positions 355 to 905 of the family's 1533-position model. The record is from RNAcentral.